This 305-nucleotide ribosomal RNA is filed under the name uncultured bacterium. Its description in RNAcentral is "bacterial SSU rRNA". It matches the Rfam family "Bacterial small subunit ribosomal RNA", at positions 337 to 639 of the family's 1533-position model. The record is from RNAcentral.
GCCUACGGGGGGCAGCAGUGAGGAAUAUUGGUCAAUGGCCGAGAGGCUGAACCAGCCAAGUCGCGUGAGGGAAGACGGCCCUACGGGUUGUAAACCUCUUUUGUCGGGGAGCAAAGCGAGUCACGUGUGACUCAUUGAGAGUACCCGAAGAAAAAGCAUCGGCUAACUCCGUGCCAGCAGCCGCGGUAAUACGGAGGAUGCGAGCGUUAUCCGGAUUUAUUGGGUUUAAAGGGUGCGCAGGUGGAUUGUUAAGUCAGUUGUGAAAGUUUGCGGCUCAACCGUAAAAUUGCAGUUGAAACUGGCAG